This 636-nucleotide ribosomal RNA is filed under the name Triticum aestivum (bread wheat). Its description in RNAcentral is "partial small subunit ribosomal RNA". The record is from RNAcentral. Lineage: Eukaryota; Viridiplantae; Streptophyta; Magnoliopsida; Poales; Poaceae.
AUGUAUGGCCCGCUCUGCUCGGCCGGGAAAUGGAGGAGGAGCCCCCGCCGGCGGAGCCUCGGUCGCAGCGGUUCGUGUUGUCGCUGCACGGGCUGGGGGACAGCGGGCGCGCCAACGAGCCCAUCGCCGGGUACGCCUUCGCCGGCGCCCGCUGGGCCUUCCCCACGGCGCCCACCGCGCCCGUCCCAUGCAACCAAAUCCGUGAGGGACGAGGCGGACGUGCUGAGGGCGGUGGAGAGCGUGCACGCCAUGAUCGACCAGGAGAUAUCCGCCGGGACGAAGCCGGAGGAUGUCUUCGUCUUCGGGCUCAGCCAGGGAGGCGCGCUGAGCAUUGCCAGCGUGCUGCUGUACCCCAAGACGCUGGGCGGCUGCGCGGUCUUCAGCGGAUUCCUCCCGUUCGGCGCCUCCUUCGCUUCCAGGGUCACGGCCGAGGCCAAGAAGACGCCGGUGCUGUGGGUGCACGGUCGAGCGGACUUCCUGGUCCCGAUCGAGGCGGGCAAAGACGGGACCAAGUUCCUGCGGGGACGGCUGGGCAUGAGCUGCGAGUUCAAGGUGUACGAGGGUCUCGGCCACGAGCUGGCACCCUACGAGCUCCAGUACUGCGAGCGCUGGGCCGCCGGUGGUGAGAAGCGUUGA